Molecule: unclassified non-coding RNA, 2249 nt
Filed under: Lytechinus variegatus (green sea urchin)
Lineage: Eukaryota; Metazoa; Echinodermata; Echinoidea; Temnopleuroida; Toxopneustidae
Description: delta-aminolevulinic acid dehydratase-like, transcript variant X2
Source: RNAcentral
CGUAAUGUUUCUUUACGCGAAUACGGAAACAACUUGUGGUGAGUCCCAAAGAUAUCCUUUCGAAUUCAGCCUUUGUAAAACCAUUCAAAGUUCUACGUAGCUAUAGACAAGUUAAGUUAUAAGUGCUUGAUAAUGUGUGCAUAUUUGGAUGAUCAUGCUUCGCAUUUCGAUGAUGGGAUUUUGAAUGUGGUGAAGGUAGAAGUUGAAUCUUCGGAUGAGCUUGGGGUUGAUGAGAGAGACGACCGCUCUGCCUCGACCGGCGGGGAAGGUUCCGCGGAGGAGGACUACGAAACCCGCUACCCGGAGGGCGACGUAACAGCUGGCGAACUUGGACUCGACGAUAAUCAUGAUCGCAGUGUUCCAACAUGGAUGCUUAAAAGAGUAUUGAAUGAAGACAAAAAUGACAUGGAGACUCGCAUUUAUAACAAGAAAGAACUUCAAUGUAUGGUAGAAAAUGUCAAUGACUCCCGUGUCUCGUUUGAACCAUUCACCAAUAAGAAAAUCCCUGUUUUUGACAAGUUUGUCCAAAUCUUUGUUGAUGGUAAAAAACAGCAAUAUACAGCAUGUGUUGAGUGCCGCACCCUCAUUAAAUAUUUAUCACGUGAUGGCACUCGAGGCUUACACCAGCACAGUUGCCCUCACAACAGAUCACACAGAACAAAGGCAAAAAAGGAGGAUAAUAUUAAUAAAGGUGUAAUGUCGGAGCCGGAGGUUGUACAUGAGGAGAAUUCAACAAAAAGUGACAGUAGACCUAUUUUUACUUCCAACUCAAACCACGACAGCCAUGCUCCAUGCGAUGGUAUUCGAACUAGAUACUCUUCUAGUGCUUCCAACAACAUUCCAUUGAUGGUGCCUUCAAACUCAAAGUCUGCAAAGACAAAGCGGGCCCCAAUUGAUGACGUGACUCAGAGCCUUGGACCAAGAGUGAAGAACAGGGUCCGAUCAGCAUCUCCUUCUCCCACAAUGCCAAUGGCCAAGAAAAAGAGGCGAUUUAAGACUUCUGCAAACAAUUAUUUCUUCGGCUUUGAAGAAGGGAUGAGUUCUCCAGUUAUACCACCUCCGAAGCAUGUCCUACAUAGCACCUUCCAUCAUGAAGUAUUACGAUCAUGGCAGAAUAUUGAUACUACCAUUACACCAGAUAAUCUAGUAUACCCUCUCUUUAUCAUAGAUAACCCAGAUCAAGUAGAGCCUGUUUCUAGUCUCCCGGGAGUAAGCAGAUAUGGUGUGAAUACCUUACAGGCAGCGCUUACUCCACUAGUAGCAAAUGGACUCAAAUCAGUUUUGCUUUUCGGCGUGCCAACCGGAUUGCCCAAGGAUCCAAGAGGGUCAAGUGCAGACAGUGAAGACACUCCGGUUGUUCAAGCCAUUCAAAUGAUAUCGGAGAAAUUCCCUCAACUUUUAAUCUGCUGUGAUGUGUGUUUAUGUGCCUAUACCAGCCAUGGUCACUGUGGUAUACUUAAUGAGGAUGGUACGUUAGACAAUACUGCAAGCAUUCAGAGGUUGGCUGAGGUUUCUCUGACAUACGCUCAGGCUGGUUGUCAUGUUAUAGCGCCCUCAGAUAUGAUGGAUGGUAGGAUAGGUGCCAUCAAGAAUAUACUCAUGAUCAAUGGCUUGGGUAACAAAGUAUCGGUGAUGAGCUACAGUGCAAAGUUUGCAUCUUGUUUCUAUGGUCCGUUCCGUGAUGCGGCCAAGUCAGCACCAAGCUCAGGGGACAGAAGAUGUUACCAGCUUCCCCCAGGCGCCAGGGGACUUGCUAUGAGAGCUGUGGAUCGUGAUGUAGCAGAAGGAGCUGAUUAUUUGAUGGUGAAACCGGGCAUGCCUUAUCUUGAUAUUGUAAGGGAUACAAAGGAAAAGCAUCCGCAUCUGAAGCUUGCCAUAUACCAUGUAUCGGGAGAGUAUGCCAUGCUGUACCAUGGGGCUCUACAGGGAGCUUUUGAUCUAUCAAAGGCCGUCAUGGAGGCUGUCAGGGGGAUGAGAAGAGCGGGAGCAGAUAUCAUUAUUACCUACUAUGUGCCUAACAUUCUGGAUUGGAUCAAGAACGUCUAGGAGGGACCGGUGUGACAUAUCAAUCAGCUCUUACAAAUAGAGAUAAUCUUUUAUAUAAAGAGCGAGACUAUAGGCGCUGCUUUUCCGACGGUGGCGGCGGCGACAGCUGUGGCAUCUUAAUCAAGGUUAAGUUUCAGGUCACAUGACCAAGGUCAAUGGACUUAGACCAUGUUGGGGGAAUCAAUAUUGAAACCAAGGUUAAG